GGCUGCAACUCGCCUACACGAAGCUGGAAUCGCUAGUAAUCGCGGAUCAGCACGCCGCGGUGAAUACGUUCCCGGGCCUUGUACACACCGCCCGUCACACCAUGAGAGUCUGUAACACCCAAAGCCGGUGGGAUAACCUUUAUAGGAGUCAGCCGUCUAAGGUAGGACAGAUGAUUAGGGUGAAGUCGUAACAAGGUAGC
Molecule: ribosomal RNA, 200 nt
Filed under: uncultured bacterium
Lineage: Bacteria
Description: partial 16S ribosomal RNA
Rfam family: Bacterial small subunit ribosomal RNA
Source: RNAcentral